Molecule: unclassified non-coding RNA, 304 nt
Filed under: rhizosphere metagenome
Description: partial ribosomal RNA internal transcribed spacer region
Source: RNAcentral
GUAGGUGAACCUGCGGAAGGAUCAUUAUCGAAUAAACUUGAACAGGCUGCUGCUGGCCUCCUCAUUUGAGGGGUGUAAUGUGCACGCUUGUCAUCUUUAUCAUCUCUCCAACUGUGCACAUAUUGUAGACCUGGAAGAAAGCUUUUGAAUUCAUUUUCGAGUUGGGACUGCUGUGCUUUUGAUAAAAGUCGGCUUUGCCUUGAAAUUUCCAGGUCUAUGUCAUUUUCACAACCUCUUGAUAUGUUUAGAAUGUUGAACCAUAUAAAAAAAUAUACAACUUUCAGCAACGGAUCUCUUGGCUCUC